RNAcentral lists this ribosomal RNA (744 nucleotides) under uncultured Acidobacteriota bacterium. RNAcentral's name for it is "bacterial SSU rRNA". It matches the Rfam family "Bacterial small subunit ribosomal RNA", at positions 15 to 736 of the family's 1533-position model. The record is from RNAcentral. Lineage: Bacteria; Pseudomonadati; Acidobacteriota.
GAUCCUGGCUCAGAAUCAACGCUGGCGGCGUGCCCAUCACAUGCAAGUCGAACGCGAAAGGGGAGCAAUCCCUGAGUAGAGUGGCAAACGGGUGAGUAACACGUGGGUGACCUGCCUUCGAGUGGGGGAUAACGUUCCGAAAGGAACGCUAAUACCGCAUGACAUCCUGCUUUUGGAAAAGCGGAGAUCAAAGCUGGGGAUUCGCAAGAACCUAGCGCUUGAAGAGGGGCCCGCGCCUGAUUAGCUAGUUGGUGAGGUAACGGCUCACCAAGGCUACGAUCAGUAUCCGGCCUGAGAGGGCGGACGGACACACUGGGACUGAGACACGGCCCAGACUCCUACGGGAGGCAGCAGUGGGGAAUUGUUCGCAAUGGGCGCAAGCCUGACGACGCAACGCCGCGUGGAGGAUGAAGAUUUUCGGAUCGUAAACUCCUGUCGAGUGGGAAGAAUAGCCUGGGGGCGAAUAUCCCCGAGGUCUGACGGUACCACUAAAGGAAGCCCCGGCUAACUCCGUGCCAGCAGCCGCGGUAAUACGGGGGGGGCAAGCGUUGUUCGGAAUUACUGGGCGUAAAGGGCUCGUAGGCGGCCAACUAAGUCAGACGUGAAAUCCCCAGGCUCAACCUGGGAACUGCGUCUGAUACUGGAUGGCUUGAAUUCGGGAGAGGGAUGCAGAAUUCCAGGUGUAGCGGUGAAAUGCGUAGAUAUCUGGAGGAAUACCGGUGGCGAAGGCGGCAUCCUGGACCG